Molecule: ribosomal RNA, 490 nt
Filed under: uncultured bacterium
Lineage: Bacteria
Description: partial 16S ribosomal RNA
Rfam family: Bacterial small subunit ribosomal RNA
Source: RNAcentral
AGUGAACGCUGGCGGUAGGCCUAACACAUGCAAGUCGAACGGCAGCACAGGAGAGCUUGCUCUCUAGGUGGCGAGUGGCGGACGGGUGAGGAAUACAUCGGAAUCUGCCCAGUCGUGGGGGAUAACGUAGGGAAACUUACGCUAAUACCGCAUACGACCUUCGGGUGAAAGAGGGGGAUCGCAAGACCUCUCGCGAUUGGAUGAGCCGAUGUCGGAUUAGCUAGUUAGCGGGGUAAUGGCCCACCGAGGCGACGAUCCGUAGCUGGUCUGAGAGGAUGAUCAGCCACACUGGAACUGAGACACGGUCCAGACUCCUACGGGAGGCAGCAGUGGGGAAUAUUGGACAAUGGGCGCAAGCCUGAUCCAGCCAUACCGCGUGGGUGAAGAAGGCCUUCGGGUUGUAAAGCCCUUUUGUUGGGAAAGAAAUCUUUCAGGCUAAUACCCUGGGAGGAUGACGGUACCCAAAGAAUAAGCACCGGCUAACUUCGUG